GCCAGGCGUGGUGGCGCAUGCCUGUAAUCCCAGCUACUCAGGAGGCUGAGGCAGGAGAAUUGCUUGAACCCGGGAGGCGGAGGUUGCAGUGAGCUGAGAUCUCACCACCGCACUUCAACCUGGGCAACAGAGCGAGACUCUGUCUCAA
RNAcentral lists this non-coding RNA (148 nucleotides) under Homo sapiens (human). The record is from Rfam by way of RNAcentral. Lineage: Eukaryota; Metazoa; Chordata; Mammalia; Primates; Hominidae.